This 840-nucleotide ribosomal RNA is filed under the name Triticum aestivum (bread wheat). RNAcentral's name for it is "partial small subunit ribosomal RNA". The record is from RNAcentral. Lineage: Eukaryota; Viridiplantae; Streptophyta; Magnoliopsida; Poales; Poaceae.
AUGGCGAGCGCGGCGCCGGAGCUCGACGUCCAGGACCUCCGCCUGCAGGAGCUCAUCCGGGGCUCCAUGCCGGACCGGCCGCCGUCCUCAUCGUCGUCCCGCGUGCCGCCGCUUAGCGACGACGAGAUCGGCCGGUUCCACUGCGCGGUCUGCAUGGAGCCCAAGCUGGUGUUCGACCGGUUCCGCGCCACGCCGGCCUGCGCGCACGAGUUCUGCGUCGCCUGCGUCGUGUCCCACAUCGAGGCCCGCGUCGCGGACGGCAACGUGCCCGUGCCCUGCCCGGCGGCCGGGGCCGGCUGCCCCGGCGCCAUGCACCCGGAGGCGUGCAAGAAGCUGCUCGUCAUGGACGUGUUCGACGCCUGGUGCGUCGCGCUCUGCGAGCGCGCCGUCGGGCCGGGACGCGCGCGCUGCCCCUACCGGGACUGCGGCGAGCUCGUGGUGCUCGACGCCGGCUGCGGCGCCGCCGUCGGCGAGGUGCCUGAGGAGGCGACCUGCCCUGGGUGCUCGCGCGCCUUCUGCCUGCUGUGCGAGGAGCCCUGGGACGACCGCCACGACGGCGGCCAAGGGUGCGCGCUCGACCGGCUCGCUGUGGGGCGCAGCUGGAUGCGCUGCCCGAGCUGCCGCGCCAUGAUCGACCGGAUCGACGGGUGCAAGAGCAUGCUGUGCAGGUGUGGCUCCGUCUUCUGCUAUGGCUGUGGCUCGUCUCGGGCAGAGGGGAUGUGCAGAUGCUAUGCUUCGCGACGGGAGGACUUCAUACCACUCGACGCCGGCUUUGAGCUCAUCGGGGCCGGGCCAAGCGCUGGCCUUUCCUCGACUCUCGGCAAGGAUGCGGUCAUGUAA